Molecule: ribosomal RNA, 484 nt
Filed under: uncultured bacterium
Lineage: Bacteria
Description: partial 16S ribosomal RNA
Rfam family: Bacterial small subunit ribosomal RNA
Source: RNAcentral
AUUGAACGCUGGCGGCAGGCCUAACACAUGCAAGUCGAGCGGUAGAGAGAAGCUUGCUUCUCUUGAGAGCGGCGGACGGGUGAGUAAUGCCUAGGAAUCUGCCUGGUAGUGGGGGAUAACGUUCGGAAACGGACGCUAAUACCGCAUACGUCCUACGGGAGAAAGCAGGGGACCUUCGGGCCUUGCGCUAUCAGAUGAGCCUAGGUCGGAUUAGCUAGUUGGUGGGGUAAUGGCUCACCAAGGCGACGAUCCGUAACUGGUCUGAGAGGACGAUCAGUCACACUGGAACUGAGACACGGUCCAGACUCCUACGGGAGGCAGCAGUGGGGAAUAUUGGACAAUGGGCGAAAGCCUGAUCCAGCCAUGCCGCGUGUGUGAAGAAGGUCUUCGGAUUGUAAAGCACUUUAAGUUGGGAGGAAGGGCAGUAAAUUAAUACUUUGCUGUUUUGACGUUACCGACAGAAUAAGCACCGGCUAACUCUGUG